This 1258-nucleotide long non-coding RNA is filed under the name Equus caballus (horse). Its description in RNAcentral is "lncRNA (ENSECAG00000058835.1)". The record is from RNAcentral. Lineage: Eukaryota; Metazoa; Chordata; Mammalia; Perissodactyla; Equidae.
CGGCAAUCUUGGACUGGCUGUGUCUUUGACUGCAGGGCUACGUAAUCUAGAAAGAAAUUGUCAGGAACUAUUUUGCUCCUUGCGAAGUGGGAAAUGAAUGGCUUAUCUGCAAUAGAACAAUGAGCAAUGGGCAGCGCGGCUGAGAGGCACACAGAGAGAAGGUCGUGGGCUGCCAUCAAAGCUCCACACUGUGCUUUAUAAUAGACCAGAGACCCACAGGCAUGCUUGUCAGCGGGCUCCAGGAGCUCUCCGCGUCUUCUGAUAACCGACGUUCCCACGCACCCGUUUUAUUCCCAAAGCUCCCCGCCAGGUUUUCUGCUAUUUGUAAUCAAAAGAGCCCUGACUACAAAUCACAGUACUAAACUUUUUGUAUUUUUUGAAACCGAAAGAGAGAAAAAGAAAGUUCAGCAGCAUAGCAUGGCCAUUGACAGACAAGUGGUAUACGUCCAUGCCCAGGAACCAGAUCCGAGCUGCCAAAGCAGAGCGCACCAAACGUAACCACUAGGACACCAAGGCUGGCCCAUAGAUGGGAAGAGAUGAGAGGCCUCUCCUGGGAAGCUGUCCUGCCGCCAGUCCUGGACCAGUGCGCGGACGGCUUCGUAAAGCAGAGACACCAAGCAGGCUGCUCUGGGUAUGAAGACGAGCCUUGUCCUGCCGCCCGUAAACCAGGCGGCGGGCACCGUGCUGCUUUCUUACAAAUGGGCAAGGCGCAGCGAGAGGCGAGGGCUGGGCCAUGGAAGCCCAGAUCCAUCACAGAAUGAACAGAAACCGUUACAAGCGUGGAGUUUGUCAAAGAAUCCGGAUUUUGGUCCUAAACGCAAAGGUAGCAGGGGGCUUCCCUUAAAAAUGGCCUUUGAGACAGCCUUCACAAAAAAAUCAAAAAUAAAAAAUGAGUUCUUUUUGGGUACAAACAUAAAUAUUCACUUGUGAGAUGUUGCCUUUGAACUUUAUUUCUGAUGCUUUCAUUCCAAUGCAGAUCGAGAUUCUGCUGCAAAAUGGGGAAUCCAAGUGCAGCGCUGGAAAUCCGGGGUCACGCUCCAGCUGGCCUGUCUUGCAAGGGGCAUUGGGCAUCUUCCCAGGGAAGCAAACAAUGCUUGCACAUAUUUUUUGAUGAAUACUCAUCCCACCGAUAAAAUAACUUACUAAUCAAACAAAGAGGAAAGUAUGUGGAGUAAGUAUAGACAAAAAAAAAAAAAUCACAGACCUGAUGUAUAUCAAUGCUAUCCUCAUGAUUAACUUCAUAGGGAACUCUUCUCUU